UAGGGAAUCUUCGGCAAUGGGGGCAACCCUGACCGAGCAACGCCGCGUGAGUGAAGAAGGUUUUCGGAUCGUAAAGCUCUGUUGUAAGUCAAGAACGAGUGUGAGAGUGGAAAGUUCACACUGUGACGGUAGCUUACCAGAAAGGGACGGCUAACUACGUGCCAGCAGCCGCGGUAAUACGUAGGUCCCGAGCGUUGUCCGGAUUUAUUGGGCGUAAAGCGAGCGCAGGCGGUUUGAUAAGUCUGAAGUUAAAGGCUGUGGCUCAACCAUAGUUCGCUUUGGAAACUGUCAAACUUGAGUGCAGAAGGGGAGAGUGGAACUCCAUGUGUAGCGGUGAAAUGCGUAGAUAUAUGGAGGAACACCGGUGGCGAAAGCGGCUCUCUGGUCUGUAACUGACGCUGAGGCUCGAAAGCGUGGGGAGCGAACAGGAUUAGAUACCCUGGUAGUCCACGCCGUAAACGAUGAGUGCUAGGUGUUGGAUCCUUUCCGGGAUUCAGUGCCGCAGCUAACGCAUUAAGCACUCCGCCUGGGGAGUACGACCGCAAGGUUG
This 550-nucleotide ribosomal RNA is filed under the name uncultured bacterium. RNAcentral's name for it is "bacterial SSU rRNA". It matches the Rfam family "Bacterial small subunit ribosomal RNA", at positions 355 to 896 of the family's 1533-position model. The record is from RNAcentral.